UGGGGAAUUUUGCCACAAUGGGCGCAAGCCUGAUCCAGCCAUGCCGCGUGUCUGAAGAAGGCCUUCGGGUUGUAAAGGACUUUUGUCAGGGAAGAAAAGGCUGUUGCUAAUACCGACAGUUGAUGACGGUACCUGAAGAAUAAGCACCGGCUAACUACGUGCCAGCAGCCGCGGUAAUACGUAGGGUGCGAGCGUUAAUCGGAAUUACUGGGCGUAAAGCGAGCGCAGACGGUUACUUAAGCAGGAUGUGAAAUCCCCGGGCUCAACCUGGGAACUGCGUUCUGAACUGGGUGACUAGAGUGUGUCAGAGGGAGGUAGAAUUCCACGUGUAGCAGUGAAAUGCGUAGAGAUGUGGAGGAAUACCGAUGGCGAAGGCAGCCUCCUGGGAUAACACUGACGUUCAUGCUCGAAAGCGUGGGUAGCAAACAGGAUUAGAUACCCUGGUAGUCCACGCCCUAAACGAUGUCAAUUAGCUGUUGGGCAACUUGAUUGCUUAGUAGCGUAGCUAACGCGUGAAAUUGACCGCCUGGGGAGUACGGUCGCAAGAUUA
Molecule: ribosomal RNA, 550 nt
Filed under: uncultured bacterium
Lineage: Bacteria
Description: bacterial SSU rRNA
Rfam family: Bacterial small subunit ribosomal RNA
Source: RNAcentral